GUGUAGAGCCAGGCGCGCAGGUCGCCGCCGAGGAAGAGCUUUUCCGAACGCAGCGCCCGCACCAGGGUGUCCUGCACCAGAUCGUCGGCGAUGUCGGUGUCCCGCGCCAGCGCCCGCGCAUAGCGCCGCAGGGCCGGAAUCAUGGUCUCGACGCUGUGGCGGAAAUCGUUGCUCAUUCAGUUCGUCCGGUCCGGCGGCUCACAGGCCGUUCUACUCUGAAAACACCGAAAACGCGGGAGUAUUCCGCUGUUUCUGCCCGUUAUGGUCAGGACUUGCGCCGCUUGUCCGGGUUGAA
RNAcentral lists this unclassified non-coding RNA (295 nucleotides) under Hevea brasiliensis (rubber tree). Lineage: Eukaryota; Viridiplantae; Streptophyta; Magnoliopsida; Malpighiales; Euphorbiaceae. The record is from RNAcentral.